This 279-nucleotide ribosomal RNA is filed under the name uncultured bacterium. Its description in RNAcentral is "partial 16S ribosomal RNA". It matches the Rfam family "Bacterial small subunit ribosomal RNA", at positions 506 to 784 of the family's 1533-position model. The record is from RNAcentral.
UGCCAGCAGCCGCGGUAAUACGGGGGGGGCUAGCGUUGUUCGGAAUUACUGGGCGUAAAGGGCGCGUAGGCGGCCUACUAAGUCGGACGUGAAAUCCCUCGGCUCAACCGGGGAACUGCGUCCGAUACUGGUGGGCUCGAAUCCGGGAGAGGGAUGUGGAAUUCCAGGUGUAGCGGUGAAAUGCGUAGAUAUCUGGAGGAACACCGGUGGCGAAGGCGGCAUCCUGGACCGGUAUUGACGCUGAUGCGCGAAAGCCAGGGGAGCAAACGGGAUUAGAUA